AAUCAACGCUGGCGGCGUGCCUAACACAUGCAAGUCGAGCGAGAAAAGGGGAGCAAUCCCCUGAGUACAGCGGCGCACGGGUGAGUAACACGUGGGUAAUCUGCCCUGGAGUGGGGAAUAACACCGGGAAACCGGUGCUAUACCGCAUACGAUCACAGAGUCUGCGGAUUUUGUGAUGAAAGGAGCAAUUCGCUCUAGGAGGAGCCCGCGGCUGAUUAGCUAGUUGGUGAGGUAAUGGCUCACCAAGGCAACGAUCAGUAUCCGGUCUGAGAGGACGGUCGGACACACUGGAACUGAGACACGGUCCAGACUCCUACGGGAGGCAGCAGUGGGGAAUUUUUGGCAAUGGGGGCAACCCUGACCAAGCAACGCCGCGUGGGUGAUGAAGUCUCUUGGGACGUAAAACCCUUUCGACGGGGACGAAACCGCAAGGUUGACGGUACCCGUAGAAGAAGCCCCGGCUAACUCCGUGCCAGCAGCCGCCGCGG
RNAcentral lists this ribosomal RNA (488 nucleotides) under uncultured bacterium. RNAcentral's name for it is "partial 16S ribosomal RNA". It matches the Rfam family "Bacterial small subunit ribosomal RNA", at positions 32 to 523 of the family's 1533-position model. The record is from RNAcentral.